AAGGACUUGCUCCGUAAGCCCAUGCCGGUCGAAGAUACCAGGCCGCUGCGACUGUUUAUUAAAAACACAGCACUCUGCAAACACGAAAGUGGACGUAUAGGGUGUGACGCCUGCCCGGUGCCGGAAGGUUAAUUGAUGGGGUUAGCGCAAGCGAAGCUCUUGAUCGAAGCCCCGGUAAACGGCGGCCGUAACUAUAACGGUCCUAAGGUAGCGAAAUUCCUUGUCGGGUAAGUUCCGACCUGCACGAAUGGCGUAACGAUGGCGGCGCUGUCUCCACCCGAGACUCAGUGAAAUUGAAAUCGCUGUGAAGAUGCAGUGUAUCCGCGGCUAGACGGAAAGACCCCGUGAACCUUUACUAUAGCUUUGCACUGGACUUUGAAUUUGCUUGUGUAGGAUAGGUGGGAGGCUUUGAAGUGGGGACGCCAGUUCUCAUGGAGCCAUCCUUGAAAUACCACCCUGGCAACUUUGAGGUUCUAACUCAGGUCCGUUAUCCGGAUCGAGGACAGUGUAUGGUGGGUAGUUUGACUGGGGCGGUCUCCUCCCAAAGAGUAACGGAGGAGUACGAAGGUGCGCUCAGACCGGUCGGAAAUCGGUCGUAGAGUAUAAAGGCAAAAGCGCGCUUGACUGCGAGACAAACACGUCGAGCAGGUACGAAAGUAGGUCUUAGUGAUCCGGUGGUUCUGUAUGGAAGGGCCAUCGCUCAACGGAUAAAAGGUACUCCGGGGAUAACAGGCUGAUACCGCCCAAGAGUUCAUAUCGACGGCGGUGUUUGGCACCUCGAUGUCGGCUCAUCACAUCCUGGGGCUGAAGCCGGUCCCAAGGGUAUGGCUGUUCGCCAUUUAAAGUGGUACGCGAGCUGGGUUUAGAACGUCGUGAGACAGUUCGGUCCCUAUCUGCCGUGGACGUUUGAGAUUUGAGAGGGGCUGCUCCUAGUACGAGAGGACCGGAGUGGACGAACCUCUGGUGUUCCGGUUGUCACGCCAGUGGCAUUGCCGGGUAGCUAUGUUCGGAAGAGAUAACCGCUGAAAGCAUCUAAGCGGGAAACUUGCCUCAAGAUGAGAUCUCACUGGGAUCUUGAAUCCCCUAAAGGGCCGUCGAAGACUACGACGUUGAUAGGUUGGGUGUGUAAGCGCUGUGAGGCGUUGAGCUAACCAAUACUAAUUGCCCGUGAGGCUUGACCAU
RNAcentral lists this ribosomal RNA (1182 nucleotides) under Pseudomonas putida. RNAcentral describes it as "bacterial LSU rRNA". It matches the Rfam family "Bacterial large subunit ribosomal RNA", at positions 1740 to 2925 of the family's 2925-position model. Lineage: Bacteria; Pseudomonadati; Pseudomonadota; Gammaproteobacteria; Pseudomonadales; Pseudomonadaceae. The record is from RNAcentral.